UUACCUACGGGGGGCAGCAGUGGGGAAUAUUGGGCAAUGGGCGCAAGCCUGACCCAGCAACGCCGCGUGAAGGAAGAAGGCUUUCGGGUUGUAAACUUCUUUUGACAGGGAAGAGCAGAAGACGGUACCUGUCGAAUAAGCCACGGCUAACUACGUGCCAGCAGCCGCGGUAAUACGUAGGUGGCAAGCGUUGUCCGGAUUUACUGGGUGUAAAGGGCGUGCAGCCGGAGAGACAAGUCAGAUGUGAAAUCCACGGGCUCAACCCGUGAACUGCAUUUGAAACUGUUUCCCUUGAGUGUCGGAGA
RNAcentral lists this ribosomal RNA (305 nucleotides) under uncultured bacterium. RNAcentral describes it as "bacterial SSU rRNA". It matches the Rfam family "Bacterial small subunit ribosomal RNA", at positions 335 to 655 of the family's 1533-position model. The record is from RNAcentral.